This 301-nucleotide ribosomal RNA is filed under the name uncultured bacterium. RNAcentral describes it as "partial 16S ribosomal RNA". It matches the Rfam family "Bacterial small subunit ribosomal RNA", at positions 509 to 807 of the family's 1533-position model. The record is from RNAcentral.
CAGUCGCCGCGGUAAUACGAGGGGUGCAAGCGUUAUUCGGAUUGAUUGGGUGUAAAGGGUGUGCAGACGGCUUAUUAAGUCACUUGUUAAAUUCUUCGGCCUAACUGAAGGUCCGCAAGUGAUACUGAUGAGCUAGAGGGUGGAAGAGAGAAGUGGAAUUCUCGGAGUAGCGGUAAAAUGCGUAGAUCUCGAGAGGAACACCAAUGGCGAAGGCAGCUUCUUGGUCCAUUCCUGACGUUCAUACACGAAAGCGUGGGGAGCAAACAGGAUUAGAUACCCGCGUAGUCCCUGUCUCUUAUAC